UUUCCGCAAUGGGCGAAAGCCUGACGGAGCAACGCCGCGUGAGGGAUGAAGGCCUCUGGGCUGUAAACCUCUUUUCUCAAGGAAGAAGAUCUGACGGUACUUGAGGAAUAAGCCACGGCUAAUUCCGUGCCAGCAGCCGCGGUAAUACGGGAGUGGCAAGCGUUAUCCGGAAUUAUUGGGCGUAAAGCGUCCGCAGGCGGCCUUGUAAGUCUGUCGUUAAAGCGUGGAGCUUAACUCCAUUUCAGCGAUGGAAACUACAAGGCUUGAGUGUGGUAGGGGCAGAGGGAAUUCCCGGUGUAGCGGUGAAAUGCGUAGAUAUCGGGAAGAACACCAGUGGCGAAGGCGCUCUGCUGGGCCAUAACUGACGCUCAUGGACGAAAGCCAGGGGAGCGAAAGGGAUUAGAUACCCC
This 410-nucleotide ribosomal RNA is filed under the name uncultured cyanobacterium. Its description in RNAcentral is "bacterial SSU rRNA". It matches the Rfam family "Bacterial small subunit ribosomal RNA", at positions 363 to 788 of the family's 1533-position model. Lineage: Bacteria; Bacillati; Cyanobacteriota. The record is from RNAcentral.